AGCCAAGAAAAUCAAUCUAAACAUUUGUGGGAAGUUGUAUUCAUCAAUAAUGAAAUGCUGACUAAGGAACAAGAUGUCAUCAGCCUCAGGAGAGAGUGGUAUGUACCUUGAAAUAACUCACCGAGACACAAACUUGCUGACUUCUUGUCCUCCAUCUCAGAGAAGAUAUGGAAGAUAUGAAGGAUGGAGAAAAAGAGGAAGAGGAAAUGUGAUGGUGGAGUGGGUAACAUAAAAAAGGGAAGGCAAAUAAGUGUAUGUGUUUUCAGCGGCUUCUCACUUUCUUUUGGCCCAUCAAGGAAACCAACACAUCCGAGGAGAGUGCUGAUAGGCUGCUCUUAGCCGGGACCACACUUGUGCUUUGAAAACAACCCCCAAAAUCCCUGCAGGCAAUUGAAGGAUGUCCCGAGAACAUCCUCCCAGGGAGCAGAUACCCAUUCUGUAGAAGCUCUAAGCCUGCUGGGCUAAGCCCUCCAUAGGCCACUUUAAUGAGGAGGAGAGGCUGUAGGUGGUGGUAGGACCACCAUGUUGCAUGACUUUUCUGUGUGCCCCGUCUUUUGACUCUGUCUC
Molecule: long non-coding RNA, 567 nt
Filed under: Homo sapiens (human)
Lineage: Eukaryota; Metazoa; Chordata; Mammalia; Primates; Hominidae
Description: non-protein coding lnc-ZNF33B-3:6
Source: RNAcentral